UUGAAAGGGAAACGAUUGAAGUCAGUCGUACCUGCGGGUAAUCAGCCUUUUGGGCAUGAUUCUGUGGAGCAUGAGGAGUUAAACGCCUUCAUGCCUGCAUAUUCGUGUACUUUGGGUGUACUUGCCUGUGUGGUUAGUUAACAUCAAUUUUGGUUAUCAUAAAAUGGUUGGAGGAAUGUAGCUUCGAUUUCGAUUGAAGUGUUAUAGCCUUCGGCAGGUGUGAUGAUCGGGAUUGAGGAUUGCAACGGAUACCCUUCGGGGCUACCUGUCUGAUCUCUGAUCGUUGCUCUGGUGCCGAAAGCGUGCUUACGGUUAUCAAAGUCGAUGGUUAAUAGGUUAGAGUGGGUUAAAUUCGUUAAGGAUGUUGACGUA
This 372-nucleotide ribosomal RNA is filed under the name uncultured Glomeromycotina. Its description in RNAcentral is "eukaryotic LSU rRNA". The record is from RNAcentral. Lineage: Eukaryota; Fungi; Glomeromycota.